This 226-nucleotide ribosomal RNA is filed under the name uncultured bacterium. Its description in RNAcentral is "partial 16S ribosomal RNA". It matches the Rfam family "Bacterial small subunit ribosomal RNA", at positions 15 to 252 of the family's 1533-position model. The record is from RNAcentral.
GAUCCUGGCUCAGGAUGAACGCUGACAGAAUGCUUAACACAUGCAAGUCAACUUGAACUUCGGUUUGGGUGGCGGACGGGUGAGUAACGCGUAAAGAACUUGCCUCACAGAUAGGGACAACAUUUGGAAACGAAUGCUAAUACCUGAUAUUAUGAUUAUAUGGCAUCGUAUAAUUAUGAAAGCUAUAUGCGCUGUGAGAGAGCUUUGCGUCCCAUUAGCUAGUUGG